This 274-nucleotide ribosomal RNA is filed under the name uncultured bacterium. RNAcentral's name for it is "partial 16S ribosomal RNA". It matches the Rfam family "Bacterial small subunit ribosomal RNA", at positions 523 to 796 of the family's 1533-position model. The record is from RNAcentral.
AUACGUAUGUCUCAAGCGUUACCCGGAAUCACUGGGUGUAAAGGGUUCGUAGGCGGUUUGAUAAGUUGGAUAUGAAAGACCGGAGCUCAACUCCGUGUUGGUGUUCAAAACUGUCAAACUAGAAUCAGGGAGAGGUAAGCGGAAUUCUAAGUGUAGGGGUGCAAUCCGUAGAUACUUAGAGGAACACCGAAAGCGAAGGCAGCUUACUGGAACUGUAUUGACGCUCAUGAACGAAAGCGUGGGGAGCGAAAAGGAUUAGAAACCCUAGUAGUCC